RNAcentral lists this long non-coding RNA (275 nucleotides) under Strigops habroptila (Kakapo). RNAcentral's name for it is "lncRNA (ENSSHBG00005001808.1)". Lineage: Eukaryota; Metazoa; Chordata; Aves; Psittaciformes; Psittacidae. The record is from RNAcentral.
CAACAGAUUCAGAAAGAAUGAGACACCUUCUGACUGUCAUCGUUGCCAUCAGCAAGGAGCAGAACACCUGCUAAAGGAUUUGGACUUCAGGGAUAUUUUUGAUAUCAACCUGCAAAAUGGCCACUGCUUGGAGGUAACCUGGCCUUUCAUCAGUGCCAGCUCUUCGCGUUAACCCAGUACAGCACGAACGGUGAACCUAAGAAGACGCUGCGGACACUGGCAAUAGUAAAAGUCCUGUAACCACACGAGCAUCGCACCUUCUGUUGCACUACAGC